GCUCGCUUGGCUCAGUUGGUUAGAGCGCAGGUCUCAUACAUGUCGUAUGACGAGCGUAGACUCGGUAAUCCUGAGGUCGCAAGUUCGAACCUUGCAGCGAGCA
Suillus discolor is the source of this 103-nucleotide non-coding RNA. The record is from the annotation of a RefSeq genome assembly. Lineage: Eukaryota; Fungi; Basidiomycota; Agaricomycetes; Boletales; Suillaceae.